RNAcentral lists this ribosomal RNA (488 nucleotides) under uncultured bacterium. Its description in RNAcentral is "partial 16S ribosomal RNA". It matches the Rfam family "Bacterial small subunit ribosomal RNA", at positions 28 to 507 of the family's 1533-position model. The record is from RNAcentral.
GACGAACGCUGGCGGCGUGCCUAAUACAUGCAAGUCGAACGGAAAGGCCCUGCUUUUGUUCGGUGCACGAGUGGCGAACGGGUGAGUAACACGUGUGUAACCUGCCCUUAACUGUGGGGUAACUCUUGGAAACUGGGGCUAAUACCGCAUAGGAGCUCUUGCUGCAUGGUGGUGGUUGGAAAGAUUCGGUUGUGGGGGUACGACUCGCGGCUUCGUAGCUAGUUGGUGGGGUAGUGGAUUACCCAGGCUAUCAUGGGUAGCCGGCGUGAGAGGGUGAUCGGCGACCUUGGAAGUGAGCCACGGUCCAGAGUCCUACGGGAGGCAGCAGUAGGGAAUGUUCGGCAAUGGGGGAAAGCCUGACGGAGUAGCGGGGCGUGAGUGACGAAGGUCCCCGGAGCGGAAAACUGGGUUAUGGGGGAAGAACAGAUGUGGAAGGAAACAUGCACGUCGUGACGGUACCUGAUAAGAAAGCCACGGCUAACUACGUG